RNAcentral lists this ribosomal RNA (445 nucleotides) under uncultured bacterium. RNAcentral's name for it is "bacterial SSU rRNA". It matches the Rfam family "Bacterial small subunit ribosomal RNA", at positions 331 to 793 of the family's 1533-position model. The record is from RNAcentral.
CCAGACUCCUACGGGAGGCAGCAGUGGGGAAUAUUGCACAAUGGGGGAAACCCUGAUGCAGCGACGCCGCGUGAGUGAAGAAGUAAUUCGUUAUGUAAAGCUCUAUCAGCAGGGAAGAAAAUGACGGUACCUGAGUAAGAAGCCCCGGCUAACUACGUGCCAGCAGCCGCGGUAAUACGUAGGGGGCAAGCGUUAUCCGGAUUUACUGGGUGUAAAGGGAGCGUAGACGGCGAUGCAAGUCUGAAGUGAAAGCCCGGGGCUCAACCCCGGGACUGCUUUGGAAACUGUAUGGCUGGAGUACUGGAGAGGCAAGCGGAAUUCCUAGUGUAGCGGUGAAAUGCGUAGAUAUUAGGAAGAACACCAGUGGCGAAGGCGGCUUGCUGGACAGUAACUGACGUUGAGGCUCGAAAGCGUGGGGAGCAAACAGGAUUAGAUACCCCUGUAU